UACUUCGGGUAAACCCGAAUCCGAACCCGAAAUAUCCGAUCCGAACCUGACCCGAACCCAAAGUUUUAAAAUACUCGAACGGGUCUUAGUUUUUAUACCCGAAAAAUCCGAACCCGAAAAACUCGACCCCGAACCCGACCCGAAUAUCCGAACGCCCAGGCCUAAUAACAUAUAUACCCUUCAUUAGUGAUUUAGUUGACAUGGUCUUGUGUUUCAGGUGCUUACAUUCUGCUGUGAUCCUAUACCGGUGUUCAAGAACCUGACUCAACUAUCAAUUAAGACUGGCCCGGAACUAGGAUGGGAAUCGUUGCCAGGUGGAGAGGAGAUUUGAAUGUGGAGGAGGAGCUGAUGAAGAUAGAAAGACAUUAAUGGAGCAGGUGAAACAUUUCUUGGAGGAAAUGAAACUUGAAGAAUAGAUACAAGACGGCCAGACAUAAUCUGCUCUUCUUGAAAAAGUUACUCGCCCAAGUACUCAUUGAUCAGCCUUGGUUUUCAAAGUUUGGGAUCUAUAGUUUUAAUGUCAAUCUUUUGGUUUCCGAAACCAAAACUAAGUAGAUUUUGUUAUAAGCUACAACUGAAACCCCUUUUUCUAAGUUUUCUAAAGUUUGGGUAAGUUUGAAGAACCAGUGAACUAUGAGAGAUAAUGCAAUCGUUGACAGGUGUCCAGUUUAAUGCAGUCUUCGACA
Molecule: long non-coding RNA, 686 nt
Organism: Arabidopsis lyrata subsp. lyrata
Lineage: Eukaryota; Viridiplantae; Streptophyta; Magnoliopsida; Brassicales; Brassicaceae
Exons: 2
Source: RefSeq, a predicted model, not a curated record